Molecule: transfer RNA, 77 nt
Filed under: Microcoleus sp. FACHB-1515
Lineage: Bacteria; Bacillati; Cyanobacteriota; Cyanophyceae; Oscillatoriales; Microcoleaceae
Also listed under: 1 other name
Description: tRNA-Leu
Rfam family: tRNA
About the family: Transfer RNA (tRNA) molecules are approximately 80 nucleotides in length. Their secondary structure includes four short double-helical elements and three loops (D, anti-codon, and T loops). Further hydrogen bonds mediate the characteristic L-shaped molecular structure. tRNAs have two regions of fundamental functional importance: the anti-codon, which is responsible for specific mRNA codon recognition, and the 3' end, to which the tRNAs corresponding amino acid is attached (by aminoacyl-tRNA synthetases). tRNAs cope with the degeneracy of the genetic code in two manners: having more than one tRNA (with a specific anti-codon) for a particular amino acid; and 'wobble' base-pairing, i.e. permitting non-standard base-pairing at the 3rd anti-codon position.
Source: RNAcentral
ACUGCUGUAACCCAACUGGAAGAGGUGCUGGUCUUAGAAACCAGAAGUUGUGGGUUCGACUCCCAUCAGCAGUACCA